GAGUUUGAUCCUGGCUCAGAUUGAACGCUGGCGGCAUGCCUUACACAUGCAAGUCGAACGGCAGCACGGGUGCUUGCACCUGGUGGCUGAGCUGGCGAACUGGGUGAGUAAUACAUCGGAACGUACCUUAUCGUGGGGGAUAACGCAGCGAAAGCUGUGCUAAUACCGCAUACGCCCUGAGGGGGAAAGCGGGGGAUCGAAAGACCUCGCGCGAUUAGAGCGGCCGAUGCCUGAUUAGCUUGUUGGUGGGGUAAAAGCCCACCAAGGCGACGAUCAGUAGCUGGUCUGAGAGGACGAUCAGCCACACUGGGACUGAGACACGGCCCAGACUCCUACGGGAGGCAGCAGUGGGGAAUUUUGGACAAUGGGGGCAACCCUGAUCCAGCAAUGCCGCGUGAGUGAAGAAGGCCUUCGGGUUGUAAAGCUCUUUUGUCAGGGAAGAAACACCGGCUCUAACACAGUCCGGGAAUGACGGUACCUGAAGAAUAAGCACCGGCUAACUACGUGCCAGCCAGCCGCGGUAAUACGUAGGGUGCGAGCGUUAAUCGGAAUUACUGGGCGUAAAGCGUGCGCAGGCGGUUAUACAAGACAGGCGUGAAAUCCCCGGGCUUAACCUGGGAAUGGCGCCUGUGACUGUUAUAGCUAGAGUGUGUUCAGAAGGGGGGUUAGAAUUCCACGUGUAGCAUUGUAAUGCGUAGAUAUGUUGGGAGGCAUUCCAAGUGGGGAAGGCAAGCCCCCUGGGAUAACCAUUUGCCGCUUCCUGCCGGCGGAAAGCGGGGGGGGGCAAACAGGGUUUAGGUUCCCCCUGGUAAGUCCCACCGCCCUAAAACCGAUUCCGGACUUAGGUUGUUCCGGGAUUUACAUCCUGCAGUAACNGUAAGCUAACGCCGUGAAAGUCAGCCCGCCUGGNGGAGNNCGGUCGCNAAGAUUAAAAUNUCAAAGGAAUUGNCCGGGGNANCCGCACAAGCGGUGGAUGAAUGUGGAUUNAAUUCGAUGCAACGCGAAAAACCUUACCUACCCUUGACAUGUCCACUAACGAAGUAGAGAUACAUUAGGUGCUCGUAAGAGAAAGUGAACACAGGUGCUGCAUGGCUGUCGUCAGCUCGUGUCGUGAGAUGUUGGGUUAAGUCCCGCAACGAGCGCAACCCUUGUCUUUAGUUGCUACGCAAGAGCACUCUAAAGAGACUGCCGGUGACAAACCGGAGGAAGGUGGGGAUGACGUCAAGUCCUCAUGGCCCUUAUGGGUAGGGCUUCACACGUCAUACAAUGGUGCAUACAGAGGGUAACCAACCCGCGAGGGGGAGCUAAUCUCAGAAAAUGCAUCGUAGUCCGGAUCGUAGUCUGCAACUCGACUACGUGAAGCUGGAAUCGCUAGUAAUCGCGGAUCAGAAUGUCGCGGUGAAUACGUUCCCGGGUCUUGUACACACCGCCCGUCAUUCCAUGGGAGUGGGUUUCGCCAGAAGCCGUUAGCCUAACCGCAAGGAGGGCGACUGCCACGCGCAGGGUUCAUGACUGG
RNAcentral lists this ribosomal RNA (1516 nucleotides) under uncultured beta proteobacterium. RNAcentral's name for it is "bacterial SSU rRNA". It matches the Rfam family "Bacterial small subunit ribosomal RNA". The record is from RNAcentral. Lineage: Bacteria; Pseudomonadati; Pseudomonadota; Betaproteobacteria.